UACGAAGGGGGCUAGCGUUGCUCGGAAUCACUGGGCGUAAAGCGCACGUAGGCGGCUUUUUAAGUCAGGGGUGAAAUCCUGGAGCUCAACUCCAGAACUGCCUUUGAUACUGAGGAGCUCGAGUCCGGGAGAGGUGAGUGGAACUGCGAGUGUAGAGGUGAAAUUCGUAGAUAUUCGCAAGAACACCAGUGGCGAAGGCGGCUCACUGGCCCGGUACUGACGCUGAGGUGCGAAAGCGUGGGGAGCAAACAGG
This 253-nucleotide ribosomal RNA is filed under the name uncultured bacterium. Its description in RNAcentral is "partial 16S ribosomal RNA". It matches the Rfam family "Bacterial small subunit ribosomal RNA", at positions 524 to 776 of the family's 1533-position model. The record is from RNAcentral.